Long non-coding RNA from Gambusia affinis (western mosquitofish), 799 nucleotides. RefSeq lists it as uncharacterized. The record is from RefSeq and is a predicted model, not a curated record. The transcript is spliced from 3 exons. Lineage: Eukaryota; Metazoa; Chordata; Actinopteri; Cyprinodontiformes; Poeciliidae.
CUUCGGUUGGGUUUGUGUGUAAACGAACCCGGCCGACGGGUGAGGGGUCAGUUACCCUUCGGUUGGGUUUGUGUGUAAACGAACCCGGCCGACGGGUGAGGGGUCAGUUACCCUUCGGUUGGGUUUGUGUGUAAACGAACCCGGCCGACGGGUGAGGGGUCAGUUACCCUUCGGUUGGGUUCGUGUGUAAACGAACCCGGCUGACGGGUGAGGGGUCAGUUACCCUUCGGUUGGGUUCGUGUGUAAACGAACCCGGCCGACGGGUAAAGAUGUGAAAACUAACAAACCAACCAAACUUGGAUUCUCCAGUCAAAUGCGUUUAUUGAAUCAAUUAUAAAAUUUACUAAGAAGGGAAAGAUAAAAACUGCCAAGACCAACAACUUAUGGGUGAAAAAGUCCUCAAGUGACCCACCUACUCCCCGACUGCUCCUGACAAUGACUGACGGAAAAGGCCUUCAUCAUCCUCCACCGCUGAUGGAUGACCUCAGUGACCCUGCCAUCGAGCUCAGAAGGCUUCCUCAAGAAACGCUUCAGGAAACCUCCUGGAUCAUCUGGGUUUUCAUGUUGGAUUUCGGCCUUCAUCUGACCUUCUCGACCCCUGCUGAUGGAUGAUCUCAAUUACCCUACCAAUCGGUUGUCUUCCUCAAGAAAUGCUUCAGGAAUCGUUCGUCUGGAUCAUCUUGUUUUUGUCUAGGAUUUUGCCCUUCAUCACCCCCCAUCGACCGACGGAGGAAAAUGGCUGAAGUUAAAACAUUUAUCAAAAUGACUUCAGUUUGUUUUUGGGGGGUUUUUUUGGACA